This 214-nucleotide non-coding RNA is filed under the name Alkalihalobacillus pseudalcaliphilus. RNAcentral describes it as "Bacillus pseudalcaliphilus T-box sequence". It matches the Rfam family "T-box leader". Rfam says of the family: Uncharged tRNA acts as the effector for transcription antitermination of genes in the T-box leader family. The record is from RNAcentral. Lineage: Bacteria; Bacillati; Bacillota; Bacilli; Caryophanales; Bacillaceae.
UCAAUGUCCGUGAUGAAGAGAGUAAUGGUGGUGGGGUUAAAGCGAGUUAGGGUUGGUGUGAGCCUAAUAACGAAACCAUGAUGAAGCGCACUUCUGAGACGCAUCCUGAAUCGAAAAGUAGGGAAUGCCGGUCGCUCACCGAUAAUGAGCAUGAAGUAGGCUUUCAGAAAAGAAAGCAAUCAGAGUGGUACCGCGGGGAAAUCUCGUCUCUAUU